UACGGAAGGCAGCAGUGGGGAAUAUUGCACAAUGGGCGAAAGCCUGAUGCAGCUAUGCCGCGUGUAUGAAGAAGGCCUUAGGGUUGUAAAGUACUUUCAUCGGGGAGGAAAAACAAACUAAUAAUUUUAUUUCUUGACGUUACCCGAAAAAGAAGCACCGGCUAACUCCGUGCCAGCAGCCGCGGUAAUACGGAGGGUGCUAGCGUUAAUCAGAAUUACUGGGCGUAAAGAGCACGUAGGUGGUUUUUUUAAGUCAGAUGUGAAAUCCCUGGGCUUAACCUAGGAACUGCAUUUUGAAACUGAAAUACUAGAGUAUCGUAGAGGGAGGUAGAAUUCUAGGUGUAGCGGUGAAAUGCGUAGAUAUCUGGAGGAAUACCUGUGGCGAAAGCGGCCUCCUAAACGAAUACUGACACUGAGGUGCGAAAGCGUGGGGAGCAAACAGGGAUUAGAUACCCGU
Molecule: ribosomal RNA, 457 nt
Filed under: uncultured bacterium
Lineage: Bacteria
Description: bacterial SSU rRNA
Rfam family: Bacterial small subunit ribosomal RNA
Source: RNAcentral